Molecule: ribosomal RNA, 253 nt
Filed under: uncultured bacterium
Lineage: Bacteria
Description: partial 16S ribosomal RNA
Rfam family: Bacterial small subunit ribosomal RNA
Source: RNAcentral
UACGUAGGGACCAAGCGUUGUUCGGAUUUACUGGGCGUAAAGGGCGCGUAGGCGGCUCUGUAAGUCACUUGUGAAAUCUCUGAGCUUAACUCAGAACGGCCAAGUGAUACUGCAGAGCUAGAGUGUAGAAGGGGCAAUCGGAAUUCUUGGUGUAGCGGUGAAAUGCGUAGAUAUCAAGAGGAACACCUGAGGUGAAGACGGGUUGCUGGUCUAACACUGACGCUGAGGCGCGAAAGCCAGGGGAGCAAACGGG